RNAcentral lists this ribosomal RNA (401 nucleotides) under uncultured soil bacterium. RNAcentral's name for it is "bacterial SSU rRNA". It matches the Rfam family "Bacterial small subunit ribosomal RNA", at positions 975 to 1375 of the family's 1533-position model. The record is from RNAcentral.
CAGGUCUUGACAUCCUCUGACACUCCUAGAGAUAGGACGUUCCCCUUCGGGGGACAGAGUGACAGGUGGUGCAUGGUUGUCGUCAGCUCGUGUCGUGAGAUGUUGGGUUAAGUCCCGCAACGAGCGCAACCCUUGAUNUUAGUUGCCAGCAUUCAGUUGGGCACUCUAAGGUGACUGCCGGUGACAAACCGGAGGAAGGUGGGGAUGACGUCAAAUCAUCAUGCCCCUUAUGACCUGGGCUACACACGUGCUACAAUGGAUGGUACAAAGGGCAGCGAAGCCGCGAGGUGGAGCCAAUCCCAUAAAACCAUUCUCAGUUCGGAUUGUAGGCUGCAACUCGCCUACAUGAAGCUGGAAUCGCUAGUAAUCGCGGAUCAGCAUGCCGCGGUGAAUACGUUCCC